RNAcentral lists this unclassified non-coding RNA (237 nucleotides) under Pseudomicrostroma sp. RNAcentral describes it as "partial internal transcribed spacer 2". Lineage: Eukaryota; Fungi; Basidiomycota; Exobasidiomycetes; Microstromatales. The record is from RNAcentral.
AUCCCUCAAAUCCCAAUGUUUUUUAAAAAGAAGCGUUGCUUGGAUUUGGUUGUGGGCCCUUGCAGUCUUUCACGAGUCUGCUGGCCUUAAAGAUAUUAGCUGGACCUCUCUAAUCUCUUAGCAGAGUACUUCCAUUUGAUGUAAUAAAGUUGCAUUGGUGGAAGCUCGACUAAGUACAUAGAGCAAGUCUGCUUCUUAACCCGGCGCGAGUGGCAACACUCAACCCAUUAUUCAUAA